UGGGGAAUUUUGGACAAUGGGCGAAAGCCUGAUCCAGCAAUGCCGCAUGUGUGAAGAAGGCCUUCGGGUUGUAAAGCACUUUUGUCCGGAAAGAAAUCCUUGGCUCUAAUACAGUCGGGGGAUGACGGUACCGGAAGAAUAAGCACCGGCUAACUACGUGCCAGCAGCCGCGGUAAUACGUAGGGUGCAAGCGUUAAUCGGAAUUACUGGGCGUAAAGCGUGCGCAGGCGGUUUGCUAAGACCGAUGUGAAAUCCCCGGGCUCAACCUGGGAACUGCAUUGGUGACUGGCAGGCUAGAGUAUGGCAGAGGGGGGUAGAAUUCCACGUGUAGCAGUGAAAUGCGUAGAGAUGUGGAGGAAUACCGAUGGCGAAGGCAGCCCCCUGGGCCAAUACUGACGCUCAUGCACGAAAGCGUGGGGAGCAAAACAGGAUUAGAUACCCUGGUAGUCCACGCCCUAAACGAUGUCAACUAGUUGUUGGGGAUUCAUUUCCUUAGUAACGUAGCUAACGCGUGAAGUUGACCGCCUGGGGAGUACGGUCGCAAGAUUAAAACUCAAAGGAAUUGACGGGGUCAUAGCUGUUUCCU
This 586-nucleotide ribosomal RNA is filed under the name uncultured bacterium. RNAcentral describes it as "partial 16S ribosomal RNA". It matches the Rfam family "Bacterial small subunit ribosomal RNA", at positions 355 to 1375 of the family's 1533-position model. The record is from RNAcentral.